This 810-nucleotide ribosomal RNA is filed under the name Chaetomium umbonatum. RNAcentral's name for it is "eukaryotic LSU rRNA". It matches the Rfam family "Eukaryotic large subunit ribosomal RNA", at positions 75 to 918 of the family's 3401-position model. The record is from RNAcentral. Lineage: Eukaryota; Fungi; Ascomycota; Sordariomycetes; Sordariales; Chaetomiaceae.
UUGCCCUAGUAACGGCGAGUGAAGCGGCAACAGCUCAAAUUUGAAAUCUGGCUUCGGCCCGAGUUGUAAUUUGCAGAGGAAGCUUUAGGCGCGGCACCUUCUGAGUCCCCUGGAACGGGGCGCCAUAGAGGGUGAGAGCCCCGUAUAGUUGGAUGCCUAGCCUGUGUAAAGCUCCUUCGACGAGUCGAGUAGUUUGGGAAUGCUGCUCAAAAUGGGAGGUAAAUUUCUUCUAAAGCUAAAUACCGGCCAGAGACCGAUAGCGCACAAGUAGAGUGAUCGAAAGAUGAAAAGCACUUUGAAAAGAGGGUUAAAUAGCACGUGAAAUUGUUGAAAGGGAAGCGCUUGUGACCAGACUUGCGCCGGGCGGAUCAUCCGGUGUUCUCACCGGUGCACUCCGCCCGGCUCAGGCCAGCAUCGGUUCUCGCGGGGGGAUAAAGGUCCCGGGAACGUGGCUCCUCCGGGAGUGUUAUAGCCCGGGGCGUAAUGCCCUCGCGGGGACCGAGGUUCGCGCAUCUGCAAGGAUGCUGGCGUAAUGGUCAUCAGCGACCCGUCUUGAAACACGGACCAAGGAGUCAAGGUUUUGCGCGAGUGUUUGGGUGUAAAACCCGCACGCGUAAUGAAAGUGAACGUAGGUGAGAGCUUCGGCGCAUCAUCGACCGAUCCUGAUGUUUUCGGAUGGAUUUGAGUAGGAGCGUUAAGCCUUGGACCCGAAAGAUGGUGAACUAUGCUUGGAUAGGGUGAAGCCAGAGGAAACUCUGGUGGAGGCUCGCAGCGGUUCUGACGUGCAAAUCGAUCGUCAAAUCUGAGCAU